AUUGAACGCUGGCGGCAUGCCUUACACAUGCAAGUCGAACGGUAACGGGUCCUUCGGGAUGCCGACGAGUGGCGAACGGGUGAGUAAUAUAUCGGAACGUGCCCAGUAGUGGGGGAUAACUGCUCGAAAGAGCAGCUAAUACCGCAUACGACCUGAGGGUGAAAGGGGGGGAUCGCAAGACCUCUCGCUAUUGGAGCGGCCGAUAUCAGAUUAGCUAGUUGGUGGGGUAAAGGCCUACCAAGGCAACGAUCUGUAGUUGGUCUGAGAGGACGACCAGCCACACUGGGACUGAGACACGGCCCAGACUCCUACGGGAGGCAGCAGUGGGGAAUUUUGGACAAUGGGCGCAAGCCUGAUCCAGCAAUGCCGCGUGCAGGAAGAAGGCCUUCGGGUUGUAAACUGCUUUUGUCAGGGAAGAAAUCUUCUGGGCUAAUACCCCGGGAGGAUGACGGUACCCAAAGAAUAAGCACCGGCUAACUUCGUGCCAGCCGCCGCAGUAA
RNAcentral lists this ribosomal RNA (500 nucleotides) under uncultured bacterium. RNAcentral's name for it is "partial 16S ribosomal RNA". It matches the Rfam family "Bacterial small subunit ribosomal RNA", at positions 30 to 523 of the family's 1533-position model. The record is from RNAcentral.